This 1363-nucleotide long non-coding RNA is filed under the name Anser cygnoides (Swan goose). RNAcentral describes it as "lncRNA (ENSACDG00005009713.1)". The record is from RNAcentral. Lineage: Eukaryota; Metazoa; Chordata; Aves; Anseriformes; Anatidae.
AUAAAUGCAGCUGUGAUGAAGUGUAUAAAGUGGGGAAAAAAAAAAAAAGAAAUGUCAAGGAAAUUCUGUCAGAAUUGUAAUUUCACUAUUCCACGUUUAUUAAACGUAUAGUGAUACGAGAAUUCCACGAGGAUGGUUGCAAAAACAAUAAAAAACAGUAAAGAAACAAAGAUGUGACUGGGAUUUAGAAAGUAUUAUUCCAAACUAUUUACACUUGCUGCUAAACAUAUACAUAUGAUGAUCCUGCACAGUGAAUCUUAGCAUGGAUAUAAGUCUUGUCUCCUUUGGCUUGGAGACAUUUUUUACUCACUGUCUAAGUAACCUUUCAAAGAACCAGAAGGAUCUUCUAGAACUUUGAGAUGUUCAGUUUUACUCAAAUUAUUUGUUUUUUCCUUGUUAGGAACUACAGUGUGUUUUUGUUUGUUUGUUUGUUUGUUUCUUCAUACAAAUUAAGGGUUCUUUGGAACAGUGGGACUAACUGUACUUAGAAACUCUCCCAAGGCAAAUUCUGUAUCUUCCACCAUCUGCAGUCUUUUCACAGCAGUCAGUAAUCAAGAAUCACAUCAGUCAUCUUGUCUCCUUUGUAAAGACCAGUGGAAUAUCCAGAGUAGCAUGGGGUAUGGAUAAAACAGCACUUGUUGCUGUGCUUCCAAAGAUAACAUAAUAGUUUUAUGAGUGAUGCAGACCAGAGAAAAUGAAGUAAUUGUAGGUCCAGUAAAGGCAAAUCUGUUUAGGCAUUACCUUUUCAUUAUUCUAGUCUUAUUCUCUGAGAAGGCUGAUUAAUGUCUCUGAUGAAAGAAUGGAGAAGAAAUAUAGGAACAGAGAUCCUCCCAAGAUGCCUGUAAGUAAAAGUGCAGAACCAAGAAGCCAGAGGACUUCAGGAGCAGUAGAAGCAAGCUGUUCAGUUGUAAAUGGAAGGGACAUGGUAUGUAAAAGCCCCCAGGCUUUUGCUGAUGCUGUGAGAAAAUCAAAGGAUAGCACAUGGAAAUGAGAAUGUAGUAAAGAACAGCUAUCAUAUUCACGCCUCUUAAACUGUGUUUUUGUAUUUCUUUAGAUGGAGAUAUUUUUAAGGUUAUUCACAGAAAAACAUUAGUAAAAGAAAUCCUUUGUGCAAAAGUAAUAAUUUAGCUGCAGAUUACAGUGCUUUUACACAAAUUAUUUUCUUUUUAAUACCAGGGUUUUAUAAGUUGCCUGUCUCUGCAAAGGCAGAUUCUGUAGUUGUUCCUGGGGGACUGGUUAGGCAUUGUGUCUGGGGAUUUUUUGGUCAAACAUUUCGCAAAGCUGUCACUUGAAAUCUACCAAUAGGUGCAAUAUGAAUCGGGUGUGUAAUAAAUCACGGAUGUAUGCAUGAGUCUGUAAAGCA